UACGUAGGGCGCAAGCGUUAUCCGGAAUUAUUGGGCGUAAAGAGCUCGUAGGCGGUCUGUCGCGUCUGCUGUGAAAACCCGGGGCUCAACCCCGGGCCUGCAGUCGAUACGGGCAGACUAGAGUGCGGUAGGGGAGACUGGAAUUCCUGGUGUAGCGGUGAAAUGCGCAGAUAUCAGGAGGAACACCGGUGGCGAAGGCGGGUCUCUGGGCCGUAACUGACGCUGAGACACGAAAGCGUGGGUAGCAAACAGG
This 253-nucleotide ribosomal RNA is filed under the name uncultured bacterium. Its description in RNAcentral is "partial 16S ribosomal RNA". It matches the Rfam family "Bacterial small subunit ribosomal RNA", at positions 524 to 776 of the family's 1533-position model. The record is from RNAcentral.